Molecule: long non-coding RNA, 1131 nt
Filed under: Monodelphis domestica (gray short-tailed opossum)
Lineage: Eukaryota; Metazoa; Chordata; Mammalia; Didelphimorphia; Didelphidae
Description: lncRNA (ENSMODG00000027873.2)
Source: RNAcentral
CCCAAGUAGAAUGUUAAAAUCUUGAAGGACACAUUACCUUCAUUUUUUAUUUAUAUGCCCAACUCUGCUCUGACAAAAACCACCCAUACCCUUUCCUUUCCCUCCCCUUGCCUUCCCUUGCCUCCCCUUGCCUUCCCUUGCCUCCCCUUGCCUCCCCUUGCCUCCCCUUGCCUCCCCUUGCCUCCCCUUGCCUCCCCUUGCCUUGCCUCCCCUUGCCUCCCCUUGCCUUCCCUCCCCUUCCCUCCCCUCCCCUCCCCUCCCCUUCCCUUCCCUCCCCUCCCCUUGCCUUCCCUCCCCUUCCCUUCCCUCCCCUCCCCUUCCCUUCCCUCCCCUCCCCUUCCCUUCCCUCCCCUUCCCUUCCCUUCCCUUCCCUUCCCUUCCCUUCCCUUCCCUUCCCUUCCCUCCCCUUGCCUUCCCUCCCCUUCCCUUCCCUUCCCUCCCCUUCCCUUCCCUUCCCUUCCCUUCCCUUCCCCCCUUUCUCUCUUUCUCUCUGUUUCUCUUCUUCUCUCUCUUUCUUUCUUUCUUUCUUUCUUUCUAUCUUUCUUUCUUUCUUUCUUUCUUUCUUUCUUUCUUUCUUUCUUUCUUUCUUUCUUUCUUUCUUUCUUUCUUUCUUUCUUUCUUUCUUUCUUUCUUUCUUUCUUUCUUUCUUUCUUUCUUUCUUUCUUUCUUUCUUUCUUUCUUUCUUUCUUUCUUUCUUUCUUUCUCUCUUUCUCUCUUUCUCUCUUUCUCUCUCUCUUUCUCUCUCUCUUUCAUUCUCUUUCUUUCUUUCUUUCUUUCUUUCUUUCUUUCUUUCUCUCUUUCUCUCUUUCUCUCUUUCUUUCUUUCUCUCUUUCUCUCUUUCUCUCUUUCUUUCUUUCUUUCUCUCUUUCUCUCUCUCUCUCUUUCUUUCUUUCUUUCUUUCUUUUAAGUGACUUAUUCAAGGUCACACAGCUAGGAAGUAGCUGAGGUCUGAUUUGAAUCUAGAUCCUCCCAACUCCAGGUUUAGUGCUCUUUCCACUACACCGUCUUCCCUUCUUCCUUACAUCUUACUCCCCACUGCAUACUCUUUGUUUGAUCUAGUGACUCUGGACUCUUAGCCCUUUCUUGCACAAGACACACUCUCUCUAGAUUCUAGACAUUUUCCCUGGCUGG